GGACCCAUUUAAAGAGAUUCACCGUCGAUUGGAUAGUAUCCAUGAAAACACAACAGAGAUGAACAACAGCACUCGUGAUCUGUACAUCCAAAGGAGCAACGAAUAUGAAGAAGGC
Molecule: non-coding RNA, 115 nt
Filed under: Fragilariopsis kerguelensis
Lineage: Eukaryota; Bacillariophyta; Bacillariophyceae; Bacillariales; Bacillariaceae
Source: RNAcentral